Molecule: long non-coding RNA, 4356 nt
Organism: Populus euphratica (Euphrates poplar)
Lineage: Eukaryota; Viridiplantae; Streptophyta; Magnoliopsida; Malpighiales; Salicaceae
Exons: 6
Source: RefSeq, a predicted model, not a curated record
AAAAUGAAAUCAAAUCAAUUAUUUUUUUAAAAAAAACGAAAAACCCUCUCCAAUCCAAUCCUCUUCUUCUUAAUUUUCAAGGUUUCGAGAAUUCCAAUCUGCGUAAAUCCCUUUCAAUGUCAAUCCCUAAAACCGUCGAUUCCUCGCUCCGGUCUGAUUCUUUCACUGCCGUCCUCACUGACCUCGAAAACGCUUCUCUCUCUCUCUCUCUAUUUUUCUUUGUUUCGCUUACAAUUUGAAUUUUAUUUUGUUUUGUAGGCGAAAAAGCUGAAGGAGAAUCACGCAUGGUUGGUGGAAACUCUUUCUCUAUUUAAGAAACCGAACGCGGCAUCACGAGGGGCUUUGAAUUAGGAGAAAAUCAAAGCUGUUUCUUAUUACGUUCACUUAGUCUCCUAUAUAAGUUGCCUGAUACCUUCUGGUUUUGUGUCAGUUCAUUAUCCGACACAUUUAUAGAUAGGGUUCCACGUUCGGCAAAUAACAUGCCUUCAUCUUUACAUUUUUGAGUUACGUGCAGGGAAUACAGUUUGCUGCUGCCAGGGUGCUAUCUAUGUUGUUUAUCGCAGCAUAUUAUACUGAACCAAAUUCGUCUGGCAAUGUGUGCCUUGGUCUGGAUGAUAAGCAGAUCGCAGAUAUAAGGCACUCUGUAAAAAGUACAUUAGUUAAGCAGUUGGACCAGAACGGAGAUUUAUUUGUUGCCACAGUCAAUCUGCUUACUGCUGCAACACAUUAUCAGGUAUGUUUUAAUAGGGUUUAUUUCCUAUAUCUUUCCACUUAAAUUGGCUUCUGACACAGAACUUCACGAUCCAUUCAUACAUUUUUUUUGCAGUUAUCUCAAUCCUUACUCCCUCAUGGAAAACAUCUGGAUAGCUUUUAUUUUCUGAUAAAAUCUUGUAUCUCAAUAACAGCUUUCUAGCAUGUGUACAUUGUUUGCUUAUUGGUGGUUUCUCUGUUGCAGCCUUCGUAUCUUCUUGCCAUUUUUUCAGCAGCCUGAUCAAUUUAUACACUUCUUGUGAAUAUGACAAUAAAAUACCUUAUCGUACAAAGUUGUCCUUUAAAUUUUCCUCCAUUUAUUUAUUAUUUGUUUUGGUUCUAUUGAUUCUGGCACUAUAACCUUAUUGACAUACAUAUUGUUGCUAUAUCAUUUGACUGUGACGAACCAUUUUAGGAUCUAAAAUACCUCAGGAAGCACCCACUAAUAGGUUAUCAUAUCCACAAUUACAUGUCCUUGCAACUUGCAGGUUGCCACCAGUAUGUUCAUUGUACAUGUGAUGGGGAAAUUAGUAAACGGUAAUGCAGGAAGUUUAUCUGUAUCCUUGGUUGAGAAGAUCCACAUCACUUUUAACGUGUGAUACUGUCUUUAAUUGGGCAAGCAAUUCUCUCUAUCUAGUCAAUUGUUUGAUGAGUUUUGUCCACUUCAAAGUUGAUUGUUCGUUGGCAAUCCCUUCAAGAGGUCUUUGUAGUUAUUUAUUAACAGCAAUACCUGAUUUUUGCAAUUCUAUUGUUUUAAAGUGACAUCGCAUCUUUUCAGUUUGGGUGCAACAGUUGAGCUGUCAGCUUGCCUUAUCUGAAUUGUUGGCGUUACAGGUAACUUGAGCACGUGUUUCAUAUUUUUAUUUGAUUGUUUUUUUUAAUGUGACUCUUAAAAAUCUAUUCGUCUAGGAUUGUGGUUGCUUGAAUGGAAAUGCAUUGCAAUAGAUUUUUUCCGAAGUCCGAUGUGAAAUCAUUACAUGUACCAUUGAAUCAUUGUUCUAAUUCUGAGGCUCACCUCCUUUGGUAGUUUGAUAAUUUGUGCUGGGUUCUGAUUCAUUUGAUCCUGUAAGUUGAAUUCUUAUCGUUUUUCAAUAUCUUCUCAGUGAAGUAAAGAACUAAAAGGUCUGAUACUCACCAAUCUCUACUAUCAUCUUCAAGGAAAGCUAGAGGGUUGUAAAAUUGGUCCUGGACCAUUUAAAGAACUCUCUUGGUAUCUGGUGGAAUCAAACUGUUUGCUGAGCUAUCAACACAAGUAUGGUGACGAACAUUAUGGAAAGAUUUUCACUUGUAUGAGCUCAUGGAUAUACGAUCAGAUUUGCGUUUGAAUAUGUGGGACUAUACAGAUUGGAAAUCUUCUAAAGCAAUCACACAAACAAUGUUGGAGUGCUUGAAGGAUGCAAAUUCGAAGGUUUUAAUAGCUAGUUCAAAGCUUUCUGCUCCGAAAGCAUUUCUAACUGCUCUUCGUAUGUGGGAAGAUAAUGUUCUGGCCUCAAAUUGCUGAAUGGGAUAAAACUAUAAAGCUUUUGCUCAUGCUACUGCUUCUUGCUUUGGAGAUUAGUAAAUCUUCAGAAAAGGAAUCUCUAGACUUUGCUGAAGUUUCAAAUGUUUGUCUAGGGCUUUUGCCUAAUCUGUGCAAUUGCAUUACAGCUACUGAGUGUAGUUCCCUCUCCUUGGCUACCAUUGACUCAGUACUGAGAAGAUUUUUGACACCUAACACUUGAUUCCCCUUCAUACAGAAACAUCUUCAAUUACCUCAUGUUAUUUUGAAACUUCAUGAUCAAAGUUCUUUCUCAUCUGUUCCAAUCACAUUGAAGUUCCUUUUGACUCUUGCACGUGUGAGAGGAGGUGUUGAAAUGCUCCUUAGUGCUGGUUUCUUCUCAUCUCUUAGAGCUUUGUUUGCAUAUUCAUCGGGUGUUGUGCCUUCGAUAAUUAUGACAAAUGAUACGGUCUUCAUAAAGCAUUCUGACAAAACAGAAAAGCCUCAAACUAUCUGGGGCCUUGGCUUGGCAGUGGUCGUAGCUAUGAUUCACUCGUUAGGAGACAGUUCUUAUACUGAGAUUCUGGACAAGGUGAUUCCUUGUGUUUUAUCAGAGAAAGCUGAACUGACUUCUUAUUACAUCAGUGCACCUGAUUUUCCAUCUGAUAGUUGUGACAAGAAAAGACCACUGGCUCAAAGGACACAGACUUCUUUGAGUGCUCUUAAAGAAACAGAACAUCUGUUGAUGUGUGUGCACUAGCUAAACAUUGGAGGUGAUGGGUUAAGGUCAUGAAAGAAAUGGAUUCAGAGCUGCUGGAGAAAUGUAUUCAUCUAUUAGCCUUUAUUAGUCCAGGAACUCAUCGCGUCGGAGAAUCUUCCAGAGGAGUUAGAAUUUUGCAAGAAACCAUCAUUUUUAAAUAGCAUGAAUGGAUUGUUUUCUCUUCCACCUCUCUGUUGUGCAUCAAAGCCCAUGUCUUCUGCUUUCUCAGUCAUCACUACUGCUGCUGUAGGCAAGGGCUAUUCAACUAAAUUACCAAUCCAGUUUCUUCAGACUCGGUUGCCCUGCAUAUUAAUAGGAUCUCUUUUCUUCUCUUGAAAUACCUCUGUAUGGAAACAGAGGGUGCUGCUAAAAGAUAAGAGGAAGUGGGGUUUGCUGAUCUAACUCAGAUUCCUGAGUUGCCAAUGCCGGAGAUAUUGCAUGGCUUGCAGGUAAAAAGUGGAUCAGGCAGUUGUUAUUGUUCCGGAACUUUGUGGUUCAAACAAAUCAAGAUUUGUGGAGUAAGCCCUGCAUUAGGGCGUGUGGAGGAAUUUUCAAAGGAAGUAAAAUAGCUGUCAAAAGCCAUGGGAGUCUGUCUAAGCAUUCUUAAAAGCAUCGGUCACAUCCUUGAAACAUUUAACAUCUCUUGUCUACCCCGUAUUGUUACAGACCGAAGGUUUAUUAUGAAACACUUGUGGAAAAAUAGGCGAACUUAGUUGGGUGAGUAACAGAUCAUGAAAAUCCUGUACAGAUAUCAGAAUUAGGCAUGGCCAAGAUAUUUGCAUGAUUACAACGUAAAACUCUGCAUAACAUCAACAUCUGACAAUAUCAGAACCAUACAUCAUUGAAUAUCGCUUAGAUUUUUCAUGGUUCCUCUAGCUCAGUGAAGGAAUAUCACACAAACAUAAUGAAGAUGGUGCCAAAUAUCAUCGAUCUGGCGUUGUUUCGCAGUCAUCCUCUUUCUAUGAUUUUAAGGUGCCCUGUUACAAGAUAUGCCUUCCAGCAAGGGAUUAUAAUUAUUUCUUGAUCAUGCACCGACUGCUGUAAUGAUUAGGGCAAUGAAUUAUUCUAGGGGGACUGAAUUUUCACUUUUGUGCUUGAAUGGGCCCUGCCGCCUUGCAUGCGUGAUGCCACAAGGUAGCAUGUUUUUGUGGUGAGACAAUUGUUGAAACAAAAGCAACUGCAUAUUAUUGCAGUUCUUGACAAGAAAUGUGUCUUUGUCUCUCUUUCAUGUAGGUGGUAAUGCUAUUCAUCCAGGAACAGGUCUUAAGUAAUUAGUUACUCGAAUAGGAUCUAUCAAUCGUGUCAUUGUCAUCUCGAAUUUCCCUUAAUUGAUUCCAGAUGGAUAUCUAUAUCAGCAUCCUUUACAGUA